GGCUUAGAGUUUGAUCAUGGCUCAGGAUAAACGCUGGCGGCGCACAUAAGACAUGCAAGUCGAACGGACCUAAUCGAUUCUUUUGGAUUCGAAGCGGUUAGUGGCGGACUGGUGAGUAACACGUAAGCAACCUGCCUGUUAGAGGGGAAUAACAGUGAGAAAUCACUGCUAAAACCGCAUAUGCCGUGAACAUCGCAUGAUGAAAACGGGAAAAGAGCAAUCUGCUAAUAGAUGGGCUUGCGUCUGAUUAGCUAGUUGGUGUGGUAAAGGCAUACCAAGGCAACGAUCAGUAGCCGGACUGAGAGGUUGAACGGCCACAUUGGGACUGAGAUACGGCCCAGACUCCUACGGGAGGCAGCAGUCGGGAAUAUUGCGCAAUGGAGGAAACUCUGACGCAGUGACGCCGCGUAUGGGAAGAAGGUUUUCGGAUUGUAAACCAUUUUAGACAAGGAAGAAACAAGACAGUACUUGUAGAAUAAGCUCCGGCUAACUACGUGCCAGCAGCCGCGGUAAUACGUAGGGAGCAAGCGUUAUCCGGAUUUAUUGGGUGUAAAGGGUGCGUAGACGGGAAGGUAAGUUAGUUGUGAAAUCCCUCGGCUCAACUGAGGAACUGCGACUAAAACUGCUUUUCUUGAGUGCUGGAGAGGAAAGUG
This 653-nucleotide ribosomal RNA is filed under the name uncultured bacterium. RNAcentral describes it as "bacterial SSU rRNA". It matches the Rfam family "Bacterial small subunit ribosomal RNA", at positions 1 to 663 of the family's 1533-position model. The record is from RNAcentral.